Lynx canadensis (Canada lynx) is the source of this 7016-nucleotide long non-coding RNA. RefSeq lists it as uncharacterized. The record is from RefSeq and is a predicted model, not a curated record. The transcript has 2 exons. Lineage: Eukaryota; Metazoa; Chordata; Mammalia; Carnivora; Felidae.
UCUUUUUUAUGUUUUCAAGUUCAUUCAAAACCUCCGACACAAUUCCCCCAUCGAGCGGCGUUAAGACCAUCUUGCACCUCCGCCUCUCAAAGCACGAUCGGGUCCCCCGGGAGAGGGUCAGAAGUGCCCGGUCUCGGGCCCCGCCCUCUGGGGUGAGGACCGGCUUCCACCGCUGUCCCUUCUGAGCCCUGGCGACCUCACGGGGGAGGAUGCCACGUGAAAGACACCGUGCCUGCUCGCAGGUGCCCCCCGCUCAGGGACGGGCAGAGCACCCAAGCUGGAAAACGUUAGCUGGCCGCCCAGCCAGGGUGAGAAGCAGACGAUACCCCCUCUGGUUUUGGUAGGAGGGCAAACAGACACCCUGGGUGAAGCCGCAUCACCUCUGCCAGGAAGCCUCUGUGUGUCCCCUAAGACAGGGUCUGGCCCCCCAACUCCGGAAGCAUUUCCCCUGCAGGCUGGUGGUUUCAACCUGGCAUCAUCUGAGGAAGUUGUUUUAAGUACAGGUGCCCAGGCCCUCUGCCCUGGUCAGCAGAAUCAGCAUCUCGGGGGCUGGGGGCCCCCCCUCCGUAUUCUCAGCCGCUCCCAGGCACGUCUUCUGCGCAGCCAGGACCGAGCGCGCCCGCGCUCACUGGCUCGCACGGUCCCCAGUCUGCCCCCGCCCUGUGUCUCCUCGCCCCCACGCCCCCCAGGCCGGCCGCCCCCGUGGACGCCCCGAGUGUGAUUUUCUGCUCGUGCACCUGCUCAUCUGGACUGCGAGCUUCCGGAGCUCAGUGUGCCUUAGGUCCCCACCAUGUACAAAGUCUCAUUAAAUACGUGCAUAACUGAACCAGACAGCCAGCUGGAGUUAGAAGCACGGGGCACCAGGCCCUGCUUCUCUCGACGUUGCCCGUCACGCCCGGCCGGGUCCUCCCCUCUGCUCUCGUCUGAGCACAGCUGUCGCCGCUGCACACCCCACCCCCCACCGCCCCUGCAGGGCCAGACCCGCCUGCCUCGCUCGGGGGCAAGCGCUCCGGCCCAGGCCUCUGGGGCUCCGUGCUAGUGCCUGGGAGCUCGCCAGGUCGACCUUGGGCGUCCGCCGUGACCUUGGCCGUCAGGUUGCCCUUGAGCACGUAGGUCUCCUCGUGUCUUUUGUUUCUGAGCCUUUUCUCCCGGGCCUGUGCCCCAACCAACGGUGAGUUGGUUUCUUGCUUGCUUGUGACAUCUAGUCCCCUUGUCGGGGGCCCUGAUGUCUUCUUCUGACUAUUCCAGGGCUCCCCACUCACAUGUAGGUCCAGCUUCUAGAACCCUCCCUGCUGUUAUCAGAGUUUCCCACACCGGCCAGAGCUGCUUGCACAGGCCUUCGAGCUUCCCCUGUUCCCAAAUUCCUUUGAGCUUUGCUCUACAUAGCAAGACCCUCUUGACUUCCUCUUGACUGAGUGCAUUUUGGCCUGGGAUGACCUUGACCGUGUAGACUCUGGCCUCCUGGCCUGGGUUUCCCCCCGUUUCCCACCAUGGCAGCCGUGUCUGUGCUCCCCUCCCCCGCACCCCUCAAGCCCACACUUAAUUCUUAAGUAUCCCGUGCUUAAAUAUCCUGUUCUUAAGCUGAACGUGUUUGGUGAUGGACGUGAAGACGGAUGGAUAAAUGGCAGCUGGAUGGAUGACUGCAGCGAUAGAUGAUAGAUAGAUAGAUAGAUAGAUAGAUAGAUAGAUAGAUACCAAUAGAUAAAUCAGCUGAACUGCCUUGAUCCUAGGAGCCCAACACACCUAGCAGAGAUCACUGGAUCAAUUCAAAGCUUACGGCUGUGUCCACACCCACGGUCUACAGAAGACGGCCCCCGUCCUCCGGCCAAUCAAACCUAGAGCGCUCGGGCCCCCAUCUUCCAGGGGAGCCAAGGGGACAGUCCACGGACAAACUGAACCGACCCCUGGUCACACCCAGCGCUUCCCUUACAGGUCAAGGUCACUUUCCUCACCCGUAAAACGGGGCGACGUUCGCUGUACCUACCCGCGUCCGUGUCCCAAGGCCGCUGUAACAAACUACCACUAACUGGGAGGCUUACGGCGACAGAAAUUUCUUCUCUCACGGUUCUAGAAGCCAGAAGUCUGACAUCUUGUUUUGCUGAGCUAAAAAUCAAGGUGUCAGCACGCUGGCUUCCUCUGGUGGCUCCAGGGGGACUCCACUUCCUCCCCUCCUCCAGUUUCUGACAGCUGCUGCCUUUUCUCGACUCACAGCCCCGGGGCUCAGCCUCUGCCUCUGGGCCCACACGGCUUCUACUUCUCUGCGUGGAUUCUCCCCCUCCCCCAUCUCCGAGAACACUCGCGAUCGCGUUCGGGGCCUACCUAGACCCCCCAACACACUCUCCGCGCCCCCAAAAUUGGAACUCGGUCGCAUCUGCAAGGUCGUCUUGGGGCCGGAGAAGGCGGGGUUCGCAGGCGCCACGCUUUAGGACACGGACUAUCUUUGGGGGGGGGGGCGUUACCCAGCUGACCACGUCGCCCCGUAAGGGUGGCUUCAGGCACUGCCACGGCCCUACCAACAUCGGCCGUCUCAACACCACCACGGAUCCAGCUCAGUUCUGGAGCCGACGUGAACGUGGGAGCAAACGGAAACUUCUGGGCGUCCUGUGAGUCCAGAAAAUAGAAACGGCGCUCACUCGCUUGUUUGGGAAACCGGAGCCUCUGCCGUUGUUCUGGCUGAGGCCGUCCACUUUUCUGUGGCCACAGACCCUCGCGCCCCUUCCCUGAAAAGGGUCGGUCAACACGGCUCACUGAGAGACCCGACCUGGAGGAAUGAUUGCCUCCGCACCGGAGCACAGACAAAGCAGAAAGCUCCCCGCUGCGGUGUCACUAGAAGUCAAGGGAGUCUGAACCCGCAAACGCUGAGAAGGGAGAGCGGAAGCCACCUUCCAAGAAGCUGGCGGAUGCCAGAGCUACAUCGUCUCGUGCCAAGUCCCGGGAGCCCCGGGAGCCUGCCCCGGACGAGACCCUAGACCUGCACAUUAGCAUGCCAUCUGGUUUCUGCCCCGUGGACGACCGAAAACAAAACAAAACAAAACCAAACCAAACCCCAAACCGAGACAUGUAAGAGGGAGUACAGAAAAGGGUGAGUUCGACCUCGGGGAGGGAAGACUGCCUGUGUUUUUCAGUGCAUUUGGGGCCAUAAAAGAAUCAGCCCCAUUAACCCCUCAGAGGCUGGAGUAAAUUCACUUUCUUUUCAGAUCCUGGCGAAUCCCCGUGAUGGAUACGUGACCGGGAAAUGUUGGUAGGGGCUGGGUACUGAAAUUUCUAUCACGUUUUUCUUUUGUGCGAUAAUUGCAGCAGGAUGGUGAAGGACGGGGCUCACCCUCAGCAGACACUGCGAGCGUAUUUGUGUGUGUUCCAUCAACACGCCCACAGCUCACUUCCAACCGAUCAACACAUAAUAUCAACAGAGAGAUAGAAGGCAAAUAUGGCAGAAUGGUAACAGCUGUUGAACGGGGGUCAUGGGUAAACACUGGCGUCCAUCAUUCUCAACUGCUCUGUGUGUUUGACAAGUUUUCAUAAUAAAAAGCUGGCGGGUUGGGGGAGACAGGAGAGAUGACCAAGGGAAGCCGAGUCCUCCCGAUGGUCUUUCCAAGACUCCACUUGAUGGGUGGAAGGAAAACCUUCAGGGAGCUUGAGCCAAAAUGCUGAGGGGCGGUGGGGAACUGCUGUGAGUCGCUCCGUGUCUGGGAACAGCCCAGUAAAUCCGAUGUCGGCCAAGGGGCGCGUUAAAGGUUGGUCACCGUAGGGGUUUGCGGGUGGGAGCAGACUUCUGAGUCGGCUGUACGUGGGACGGCUGUUCUGACACAGAAGAAUCCGGAGGCCCCGAUUUCCAGAGGGAAGGACCCCACAAGGCUCACACAAUCACGGUCUUUCGGCUGUGACGAACACUCCCCUCAGCCUCCCUUCCGCCCCCUCUGAUUAGUCUCCACCAAUGGUGCAAUCGUGUCCCUCCAGAGCGAUUGGCCCAACAAUGGGCACGUGACCCAGCUCCGGUCAAUGACUUGUAAGACGUCAGCCAGGGUGCUUCUGGGGAGAGGCUCCUCACUCCCAGGAGAGUGCCCCGGAAGAGGUGGUCUCUUCUUGGUCUGGAUCCUGUCACCCGAAUGUGAUGUCCGGAGCGACUGCCGCCAUCUUGUGACCAAAGACAAAGCCAGUGUCAAAGUUGGCAGAUGGGAAGGACCUGGGUCCUUGGGGGCAUCUGUGAGCCGUGGGAGCAGCUGGCCCUGAAGGCCACCCAUAACUCCCCACUAAGGAAAUAACAGAUGUCCUUAUUCUGUAAGUCUGGUGGACUCCACUUCUAGUAGUUCUGGUACAAGACCAGGAAGCAGUACCGUGCCGACCCACAUCAGGCCUUUGAGUUAGGAAAGGUAUCUCUUCCUCCAGGAAGACACCCAGCUUGGGGAACAGGAUGCAGCUGGCUUUCGACCCCAACUUGCCCCCGAUUCCAGGAACCUCCGCCCAUGAGCGACCCACACGGUGGUCACAGAGGACAUCUGGCGAAAACCCCGGGGUCCCACCUGCCAGGCUGGAACAGAGACAUUUGCUCCCUCCAUUCCUGGAUGAUCCUGGCCUUUGAGAAGUUCAGGAUGGUGCCAAGGGGUGGGGCAGCCGUCACCCUCCAACUCAACCCGCCCUUCGUGCGUACUCAGUUUUGAACAAUUCGCGUUUCCUUGACUGUUACCCAAAGAGCUGUUUAAGCACCCCCCACCACUUCCUUUCCAACCAGAGUGGCCCGUGAGCACCCCUCCUGGAAAUCCCGGAAAUGUGGCUGUGGAGGGAGCUCCUCCUUCCGUCCGCCCCGCACCCAACCCGGUGGGGCUGCGGGGACCGUCACGGUGGCCAGCUCACAGUCUCUGAGACCCUGCCUGCUCUUGGCUCAGCUGAGGACUCAGAGGCGGGCGGAUACAAGCUUCCCGCGAAACACCCUCAGGAGCCAGAUGUUUCCAGAGUGCAUCCAAACCUCUGCCCGCUGGCCUCCCCCAGGGCUUGGGCUCGCUGACCUGGGAAGCGAGGGGGCGUCGGUGGGGCCCCGGGGGACGGGGGGCAGGAUGGAGUUCAAGGGCCGGGAGAGUAUUUUGGUCUUGACCCCUGGGGCUCCGUGCGAGAGGUGGCCGGGCCCUCGACUUCUGUUUCCCGUUCUAAAAGGAGACCGCGUCAGCUUCCCCUUCUGACUCGGGCUGAAUCCCACUGCUGGCGCACGGUGAAGUGCGCGGACCCUGCCCGGGCUUCCGCGAGACCCAGACGGGCACACUGGCUGGCCUUCUCCCAGCUCCAGGAGCCCAGGACACCCCACAGAGGCAGCUCGGGCUGGUGGUCGGAGGUGGGGAGUUUGGAGUCCAUGGGAUCCAAGUUCAAGUAUCAGCAGUGCCUGCUCCUGGACGUGUGACUUCACCUCUCUGGUCCUGCUGGCUGUCUAGGAAAGGGGGAUGUAACGCACCCCCUGGGCCUGGCGUAAGCGUCCGGAGACGGGUCUGGUUACCGAGUCGAAAGCCGCAUCAUCUCCAGAGUACCUUUUCCCAAAUUCGACAGGCUGAGAAUCUUCCGCUACCAGGGAGGUCGACUGGGGUAGUCGACUGGGAGGUCGACUCACGUUUGUAUCCUCACCGCGAGCCCCUCUCGUGCCGGACGUCAGCUAGACGCUCCGAGUACAUUAUUCUAAUCCUGACACCAAGCCCUGGGGGGGAAGCCAUUUUGUUCCCAUUGUGCAGACAGGGAAACUGAGGCUCGGGGAGGAGAAAGGACUUCGAGAGGGCCACACCAGUGAGUGCCAGAGAUGGGCUUGAGCCCACGAUGAUCAGGCUCCAGACGCAGCCGUUCCCAGAAGGUGCCUUCCGUCGGGCCCUGCACGGCUCUUUGUAAACGACCAGGCUUCGCCCUCGGCCGUCAAACUUGGGAGCGAACAAAUCACACAAUGUUGGCGAUUUGAGGACGGCCAGAGCCACGGGGCAGAGAAACCCAUCCAGCAUCCCUCUUCCGUGCACAUCCACCGUGCACCUGUCCCGUGCCGGCCUGGUGCUGGGUGUGGAGUUCAAGACAAAACAGGACCUACCCGGCCUGGCCCCGAGAAGCUCUGCCCGGCAGGCGGCAUCGCAAGCCACGGACGAGUGCAAAACGGCGCGGCGAGAGCCCAAGCGAGGGCCAAGGACUUUCCGAUGAAACCCAGAAGGUUCCACUCAGGUCUCGCUUUCCGCGUACAUCUUCCUUGCGUUUUCUCCGCUUGAGGCCGUGCACACGUCGGAGCCCCACUCAGUGGAGGCUGGAGAGCUGUUUCUCCCACUUCUGCGUUGCCCGUCGUGUACAACACAUGCUAUGAAGGUAGCACCGGUGACGGUUUUCUUAAGUGGCCCACGAAGCGGUGAGUGGGCAAGUGGGUGAGGGAGUGAACGAGCGUAGCACUUAGGCGUAGAGACUGUUAUUUUCUAUGUGACCCGCGCGGGCGUAGAGCCCGUGGUGGUGCCUUACUGAGGACGACCUUCGUUCGCACAGGACACGUGAGCUUCUCGGUCGCUACUCACAACUUAGGACCCAGCGCGUGGUCCGCGAAUCCGCGUGUGCAACUCGGGAGCUGGGCUCUACCAUUGCUGAUCCCGAGACGUAAAAUCAGUUCUUCCCCCCGCCCCCCUAGCCUCUGCGUCCCGAUCUUUGGUAUCCCACAGAGAAAUCUGAGCGCCCUCCCCGCUCCUCAGAGGUUUGUUUACAAGGCCGGCGACGUUCUGGAAGGCACCGCGCCGGCCCACGAGGGGUGACGACGAGCCUCGCGUUCCGCGGACCUCACGUUGGCGGCUUGGAUCGGCCACACUGGGAGUGGUUACCCCACGGAAAUUGGCAUAUGUGGGGUUUGUUGUUGUUGCUGGUUCUGGAAAAGAGUUAAAUUUCUAGCAGGACCUUUCUGGGGUACCACUUGAAACGGUCCAAAUCUCUUUGAAGUAUCUGGUGUUCUCUUUAAGAUCCCUCUGUGUUUUGCAAUUACCCAGAAAACAUCAUCUUUUCUGUUAAUAAAACAUUUAACGGCU